This 460-nucleotide ribosomal RNA is filed under the name uncultured bacterium. RNAcentral's name for it is "partial 16S ribosomal RNA". It matches the Rfam family "Bacterial small subunit ribosomal RNA", at positions 338 to 795 of the family's 1533-position model. The record is from RNAcentral.
CCUACGGGAGGCAGCAGUGAGGAAUAUUGGUCAAUGGGCGCGAGCCUGAACCAGCCAAGUAGCGUGAAGGAUGACUGCCCUACGGGUUGUAAACUUCUUUUAUAAAGGAAUAAAGUGAGGCACGUGUGCCUUUUUGUAUGUACUUUAUGAAUAAGGAUCGGCUAACUCCGUGCCAGCAGCCGCGGUAAUACGGAGGAUCCGAGCGUUAUCCGGAUUUAUUGGGUUUAACGGGAGCGUAGAUGGGUUGUUAAGUCAGUUGUGAAAGUUUGCGGCUCAACCGUAAAAUUGCAAUUGAUACUGGCAGGCUAGAGUACAGUUGAGGGAGGCGGAAUUCGUGGUGUAGCGGUGAAAUGCUUAGAGAUCACGAAGAACUCCGAUGGCGAAGGCAGCCUCCUAAACUGCCACUGACAUUGAUGUUCGAAAGUGUGGGGAUCAAACAGGAUUAGAUACCCCAGUAGUC